This 161-nucleotide small RNA is filed under the name Chrysemys picta bellii (western painted turtle). Its description in RNAcentral is "TUC338 (ENSCPBG00000026362.1)". Lineage: Eukaryota; Metazoa; Chordata; Testudines; Emydidae. The record is from RNAcentral.
UUGAUACCCCUGGAGAUCUUGAUCUGCAGAACAUCUAUGGCACUGGAUAUGCAGGCUUCCCUCUACUGUCCUGCCAAUGUGCUGCAACACUGACCUAGAAGGGCUACCUUUAAGGGGUGAGAAUAGUUCAGGCUUUAUACCCAUUCAGUCCUUAAACUGGC